GAGAAAUUAUAUAAUAAAGUGAUAUACAUAUACAUGGGUCAACCAACCGCCGGUUUCAAAACGUAAUCCAUAACCUCCAGUUGAAAAAGAUAAGAUUUUUUUAUUAGAGUUUCCUCUCUUGACCGUUUCUGGAACUCAGAGUUUCUGCAGGAAAUUGAUUCUCUGAUAUCUGCCAUGGAAAUUGUGACUACCACUGGAGGUGCUAUUCUCACUUCUGUGUUUACGGCGUUAUUUGAUCAGUUGGCUUCCCAGGACUUGCUUAAGUAUGCCCGCGAAGGAAAAGUCUUGAAUGAACUCAACAAAUGGAAGGACAUUUUGGAGGAAAUUUACGUGGUGCUUGACGAUGCAGAGGAG
This 354-nucleotide unclassified non-coding RNA is filed under the name Hevea brasiliensis (rubber tree). Lineage: Eukaryota; Viridiplantae; Streptophyta; Magnoliopsida; Malpighiales; Euphorbiaceae. The record is from RNAcentral.